CUUAACGAAGACCCGAAAGAACAAACGGAGAAAAGCUACAUGGUUUGAGUACGAGUCUCGAUCUCCGUGCCCUUUUCCCGACAAAUCCUCGCAAAUAACGACGAACCCUCCCCAGUGUUUGUGGGCGUGCGAUGGACGGGAUGGCGAUUGCCGAUCCUCGCCCCAGUCUGAUGGUCACCAACGACGACGGCAUCGACGCGCCGGGGCUCCGGUUCCUCGUCGACCUCCUCGUCGCCGCCGAUCGGUACCGCGUCCUCGUCUGCGCUCCCGAUUCUGACCAAUCUGGUGUUGGACAUGGCAUUGCUUGGCGUCGUCCUCUCAGUGCUAAACGUGUUGAGAUUAUGGGUGCUACAGCUUUUGCAGUAUCAGGCACUCCUGCAGAUUGUGCUUCUUUGGGAAUUUCUGGGAAACUCUUUGUUGGUACAAUUCCUGAUUUGGUGAUUAGUGGCAUCAAUAUUGGUAGCAACUGUGGAUACCACAUUGUAUACUCUGGGACAGUAGCCGGUGCGCGGGAAGCAUUCUUAUAUGGUGUACCUUCUUUAGCUAUAUCAUAUAACUGGAAGGAAGGGAAGAGCAAUGUUCAUGCCCUGAGGCUUGCUGCAGAUGCUUGUUUGCCUCUCAUAAAUGCUGUACUGAAUGAGCUGAAAACCAAGACAUAUCCUGAAGGUUCAUUUUUGAACAUAAUUGUGCCAACAGAUGUUGCAAAUCACAGGGGAUUCAAGAUAACAAAGCAGGGAAAAUUUAUGAUCAGAUUUGGGUGGGAGCAAACAAAAACCAGCACACCAGCUGUAGAGACCUAUCAAAAUGCAAAUAUUGAUGUUGACUCUGCAUCGGGCUUUGGUAACAAUGCAUCAUCAAGUCUGGUGGAAGAUGAACUCUUGUUUAAGAGGGUGAUUAUCAAGAAGAACAGUGUAGAAGCGGAAGAGGACACAGAUCACAGGGCCAUGGAAGAAGGAUAUAUUACAAUCACCCCUUUAGGUGCCCUCUCACGCACAGAAAUGGAAGCUGUGCCCUAUUUCAAAGGUUGGCUGAUGCGUUUAGCAGACCAUUCACCUUGUUCGUCCUUGUGAAGUUUGUCUCCAGGUUUGCAGCACUGCUUCGUUCUGGUCUCAUAUGAUUGGGAGCCACUGGAGGAUUCCAUUUUGAUAUACCAUAACGUAAUUGAUUAUAAACAGCAUAGUAUUAUUCCUUUCCAAUUUUUGAAUAAUGCAAUUUCAAUCAUAAAUUGGUAGGAUGCAGUGUACCUCGUGAAACACAUUGAUCAGUGAGGGCAAAUUAUGUGGACCAAAAGCAACUCACCAACUUGGCAGAUUGAGAGGCCAAAAUGAUCGGUUACUUUUCUUGCCUUUGUCAGAGUUCGCAUAGAAGACAAAAAGAAAAGGUACUACUCCUUAGCUCAAGAGUAAUUUACCUCUUGUCGGGACCACCCAUUCAAUCAGUUCAGAUGCAGAGUCGCACUUUCAAGCAUUAUGAGCAUAUUAAUAAAGAAAAAUGUCACUUCAGCAAGCACCAUCUUAA
Musa acuminata subsp. malaccensis (wild Malaysian banana) is the source of this 1518-nucleotide non-coding RNA. Lineage: Eukaryota; Viridiplantae; Streptophyta; Magnoliopsida; Zingiberales; Musaceae. The record is from RefSeq and is a predicted model, not a curated record.